This 279-nucleotide unclassified non-coding RNA is filed under the name Hevea brasiliensis (rubber tree). Lineage: Eukaryota; Viridiplantae; Streptophyta; Magnoliopsida; Malpighiales; Euphorbiaceae. The record is from RNAcentral.
AGAGAGAGAGAGAGAGAGAAUGGGUUAUAAUUGGGGGGGAAAAAAGCUGUAAAUUCAAGAAUUUUUUUUUUGGUAAUAUAGCCAUUAAAAAGUUCAAAGUAUGCUAAAUUUUGUAUUCAGCUUGCAUUAACAAGGGAGAUAGGCCAAAGAUAGCAGGUAGAGAUGUGUUUAACCAAAUUCUGACCAACCAUAUAGCAACAUGUAAAAAUGUACCUAUUAACUUCAACAACCAUAAGGAAGGUUCCAUCAUAACUCACCUAUCUUGCAUUGCUUUAGAUG